RNAcentral lists this ribosomal RNA (300 nucleotides) under uncultured Dolosigranulum sp. Its description in RNAcentral is "bacterial SSU rRNA". It matches the Rfam family "Bacterial small subunit ribosomal RNA", at positions 497 to 795 of the family's 1533-position model. The record is from RNAcentral. Lineage: Bacteria; Bacillati; Bacillota; Bacilli; Lactobacillales; Carnobacteriaceae.
GUGAGUCGGUUGCCUGGGCAGGGGGAAUGCGUGUGGGGCGAGAGUUGUCCGGAUUCAUUGGUCGUAAAGAGUUCGGAGGGGGUUCAGUAAUUCGGGUGUGAAAUCUCCGUGCUCAACACGGGGCGGCCACCUGAUACUGCUGUGACUCGAGUCCGGUAGGGGAGUGGGGAAUUCCCGGUGUAGCGGUGAAAUGCGCAGAUAUCGGGAGGAACACCAGUAGCGAAGGCGGCACUCUGGGCCGUGACUGACGCUGAGGAGCGAAAGCGUGGGUAGCAAACAGGAUUAGAUACCCUGGUAGUC